RNAcentral lists this ribosomal RNA (408 nucleotides) under uncultured bacterium. RNAcentral describes it as "partial 16S ribosomal RNA". It matches the Rfam family "Bacterial small subunit ribosomal RNA", at positions 28 to 526 of the family's 1533-position model. The record is from RNAcentral.
GACGAACGCUGGCGGCGUGCUUAACACAUGCAAGUCGAACGAAGUGGCGAACGGGUGAGUAACGCGUAAUCAAUCUGCUCUUCAGUGGGGGACAACAGUUGGAAACGAUUGCUAAUACCGCAUACUCAAGGAGGGGAUUUCGUCUGAUUGGCUAGUUGGAGGGGUAACGGCCCACCAAGGCGAUGAUCAGUAGCCGGGCGGAGAGGAUGAACGGCCACAUUGGGACUGAGACACGGCCCAGACUCCUACGGGAGGCAGCAGUGGGGAAUUUUGGACAAUGGGCGCAAGCCUGAUCCAGCCAUGCCGCGUGUCUGAAGAAGGCCUUCGGGUUGUAAAGGACUUUUGUCAGGGAAGCGGUACCUGAAGAAUAAGCACCGGCUAACUACGUGCCAGCAGCCGCGGUAAUUC